AAACAAGCUACAAAACUGACGAUUAUUAACUACGGUGUGCAUGACACAGAAAAGAUAAAAGUUUUUCAUUUUGGCCUUAACCGUACAAAGGCUUAUACACUUUUUAGAGCAGCUCAUACUGUAUAAAUAUGACGAACAGUGAUAUUUGAAAUUAUAUGAACAAAUGCUUCAUCAGGUAUUACAUCAUUGUUAUGGCCAGCAGCCGGAGUUAAUGAAUAUUAAAAAUAUAUCAGUGUCGGAAAACGUGAAACAACUAGACAAAAAACAACUGGCAGCAGAAUACAACAACAACAAUGAGGAUUACGAUCCGUCCAUGCAAAAAGAUAAAGAAAAACAAAACCAGAUGCAUCGAGUGCGUGAAAAGCUUCAGCACCCAAACGAAAAUGCUUCAGAAAGCUCACGCGCAUGGAUGUUCUGCGAACGAUGCUGUGGUGAGAGGCAGCAGCAAGAGCCAGAGCUAGAACAAGAGCAAGAG
This is a long non-coding RNA of Drosophila hydei, 475 nucleotides long. RefSeq lists it as uncharacterized. Lineage: Eukaryota; Metazoa; Arthropoda; Insecta; Diptera; Drosophilidae. The transcript has 3 exons. The record is from RefSeq and is a predicted model, not a curated record.